ACUACGGGAGGCAGCAGUGAGGAAUAUUGGUCAAUGGGCGCUAGCCUGAACCAGCCAAGUAGCGUGAAGGAUGACUGCCCUCUGGGUUGUAAACUUCUUUUAUAAAGGAAUAAAACGAGGCACGUGUGCCUUUUUGCAUGUACUUUAUGAAUAAGGAUCGGCUAACUCCGUGUCAGCAGCCGCGGUAAUACGGAGGAUCCGAGCGUUAUCCGGAUUUCUUGGGUUUAAAGGGAGCGUAGAUGGGUUGUUAAGUCAGUUGUGAAAGUUUGCGGCACAACCGUAAAAUUGCAAUUGAUACUGGCAGUCUUGAGUACAGUUGAGGUAAGCGGAAUUCGUGGUGUAGCGGUGAAAUGCUUAGAUAUCACGAAGAACCCCGAUUGCGAAGGCAGCUUACUAAACUGUGACUGACAUUGAUGCUCGAAAGUGUGGGUAUCAAACAGGAUUAGAUACCCUAGUAGUC
RNAcentral lists this ribosomal RNA (460 nucleotides) under uncultured bacterium. RNAcentral describes it as "partial 16S ribosomal RNA". It matches the Rfam family "Bacterial small subunit ribosomal RNA", at positions 338 to 795 of the family's 1533-position model. The record is from RNAcentral.